This 725-nucleotide ribosomal RNA is filed under the name Newbya oligocantha. RNAcentral's name for it is "eukaryotic LSU rRNA". The stretch from base 185 to 339 matches the Rfam family "5.8S ribosomal RNA". The record is from RNAcentral. Lineage: Eukaryota; Oomycota; Saprolegniomycetes; Saprolegniales; Saprolegniaceae.
AACCUGCGGAAGGAUCAUUACCACACCAAAAAAAACCCACGUGAACGUACUCUGUAUUAGGAUCGUACUGCCCCUUGUGGGUGGUUAUCCGAAGGUUUCGAAAGAGACCGAUGUCUAUUUAAUCCCUUUUAAACAAUAUCUGAUCAACAUUGCAGACAGAAAUGUGUGCAUGAAAUUGAAAUACAACUUUCAACAGUGGAUGUCUAGGCUCGCACAUCGAUGAAGAACGCUGCGAACUGCGAUACGUAAUGCGAAUUGCAGAAUUCAGUGAGUCAUCAAAAUUUUGAACGCAUAUUGCACUUCCGGGUUAGUCCUGGGAGUAUGUUUGUAUCAGUGUCCGUUGACAAAAAAUUGCUUCAUUUUUCAAUGAAGCAGAAGGUGGAGUGUCUUGCUUUGGCAAGUCCUCCUAAAUGACGGAUACCUGUACGCCCUUGUGGAAUACAUUAUACAAAGGUAUAUAUGAUUUCGAUUUCGAUUGUCCUGUGCAAUGGCACGAGUAUUGAAAGAGAAAUAAAUUGCGGUAGCUUUGCUUGUGCUUCGGCAUCGGUGAACAUAUUAUUGCUUUUUGUUGCUCUGGAAGUGUUCGUGACAGAGUGCAGGAUGCGUUGUCGAAUAGUAUAUGCUGGUGUGUUCCUUGACGUAUGGAGGACAAUUGGGAAAUUAAUCCAAUUUGGACCUGAUAUCAAACAAGACUACCCGCUGAACUUAAGCAUAUCAAUAAGCGG